UUGUUUGUGACAGUGAUGAAACUAAAGCUAUAAUAAUAUCAGCCACCGAUUGUGGUUCUGGCAGGGUACUAGUUUUAGGAAGUGCACACCCAUCAGCAUAAGUAGGAGAGUUGAAAUCACCCACAAGAGCUUGGUGGGCUGCACGAUCAUAACCUUGUAUCGAUUUAGGCGGAGAACGGGGCUUCAGAAAAACAGUUUUUUUAUAAGAGUUACUGUGCAAUGGUUGAGUGGCUGGAGUUUUGAUAUCUUGGCUGUUGGCUACAAAAGAAGAUGGGGGUGUAAACUUUAAUGUGUCAGCAUAUGAUUUUGUCACCGGAGGAUGUAUCUUUGAUGCUUCUGAGUAUGAAACGCAAUUUUGGGCCAUAUACUUUUUUAUAUUUGUCUGCCUACCGGCUUCUGGACAAACCUUGCUAAUUGCAAUAUGGGGCCGCCACAAAGACAACAAUAACUAUUAUCUUGGUCGCAAUCACAAGAUGUACCAGUAUGCCCUUGUCCACAUUUAUAGCACCUUGGUUUAGAUCUGCAUGUAUCUUUAGUGUGUCCAUACCGGCAACAAUUGUAGCAUUGAAUUGAUGGAUAAAUGUAUAGUUCUACUUUGAGGGAAUUAAAACACAUAAAUACUCUUGUGGGAAGGACCUGACCAUCAAAAACAUGUCCACCGGUACACCUCUUACGAGCCCCAUCCUGGUAACAUUAAAAGAUGGAAUAAAAGCUUCAUAACCUUUUUCCAAUAAGGCAUGAUGUUUUAAGAAAGAAUUUGCAGCUGAGUGACUUGUGAAUGCCAUUGAAAUUUUGUUGCGACCGAUACGCUUCAAACUGCCUUGUACUAUGUUUGGCACCUGGUUUUUAUACAAAAAAUCUGCCAAAGCAUAUUGGAUGCAAAUUAAGAUCCUGUGUUACCUCUCCUGUACUAGACCUAGCAACAUGAAUAAUAAAUGGUGAAGCAUCCAA
Manduca sexta (tobacco hornworm) is the source of this 951-nucleotide long non-coding RNA. RefSeq lists it as uncharacterized. The transcript has 2 exons. The record is from RefSeq and is a predicted model, not a curated record. Lineage: Eukaryota; Metazoa; Arthropoda; Insecta; Lepidoptera; Sphingidae.